AUUGAACGCUGGCGGCAGGCCUAACACAUGCAAGUCGAGCGGAUGAAGGGAGCUUGCUCCUGGAUUCAGCGGCGGACGGGUGAGUAAUGCCUAGGAAUCUGCCUGGUAGUGGGGGAUAACGUCCGGAAACGGGCGCUAAUACCGCAUACGUCCUGAGGGAGAAAGUGGGGGAUCUUCGGACCUCACGCGAUCAGAUGAGCCUAGGUCGGAUUAGCUAGUUGGUGGGGUAAAGGCCUACCAAGGCGACGAUCCGUAACUGGUCUGAGAGGAUGAUCAGUCACACUGGAACUGAGACACGGUCCAGACUCCUACGGGAGGCAGCAGUGGGGAAUAUUGGACAAUGGGCGAAAGCCUGAUCCAGCCAUGCCGCGUGUGUGAAGAAGGUCUUCGGAUUGUAAAGCACUUUAAGUUGGGAGGAAGGGCAGUAAGUUAAUACCUUGCUGUUUUGACGUUACCAACAGAAUAAGCACCGGCUAACUUUGUG
Molecule: ribosomal RNA, 484 nt
Filed under: uncultured bacterium
Lineage: Bacteria
Description: partial 16S ribosomal RNA
Rfam family: Bacterial small subunit ribosomal RNA
Source: RNAcentral